Molecule: ribosomal RNA, 425 nt
Filed under: uncultured bacterium
Lineage: Bacteria
Description: partial 16S ribosomal RNA
Rfam family: Bacterial small subunit ribosomal RNA
Source: RNAcentral
GUGGGGAAUAUUGGACAAUGGGCGAAAGCCUGAUCCAGCCAUGCCGCGUGAGUGAUGAAGGCCCUAGGGUUGUAAAGCUCUUUCAGUGGGGAAGAUAAUGACGGUACCCACAGAAGAAGCCCCGGCUAACUUCGUGCCAGCAGCCGCGGUAAUACGAAGGGGGCUAGCGUUGUUCGGAUUUACUGGGCGUAAAGCGCACGUAGGCGGAUUGUUAAGUCGAGGGUGAAAUCCCAGGGCUCAACCCUGGAACUGCCUUCGAUACUGGCAAUCUUGAGUCCGGAAGAGGUGAGUGGAACUCCUAGUGUAGAGGUGGAAUUCGUAGAUAUUAGGAAGAACACCAGUGGCGAAGGCGGCUCACUGGUCCGGUACUGACGCUGAGGUGCGAAAGCGUGGGGAGCAAACAGGAUUAGAAACCCGAGUAGUCC